CCUACGGGAGGCAGCAGUGGGGAAUAUUGCGCAAUGGGCGAAAGCCUGACGCAGCGACGCCGCGUGAGGGAUGAAGGUCUUCGGAUUGUAAACCUCUGUCAGCAGGGAAGAACGGUCACUGUGCUAAUCAGCAGUGAAUUGACGGUAUCUGCAAAGGAAGCACCGGCUAACUCCGUGCCAGCCGCCGCGGUAAUACGGAGGGUGCGUGCGGUAAUCGGAAUUACUGGGCGUAAAGCGAUCGUAGGCGGUAUGUCAAGUCAAGGGUGAAAUCCCCGCGCUCAACGUGGGAACUGCCUUUGAAACUGGCAGACUGGAGUGUGUGAGAGGAUAGUGGAAGUCCAGGUGUAGGAGUGAAAUCCGUAGAUAUCUGGAGGAACACCAGUGGCGAAGGCGACUAUCUGGCACAUAACUGACGCUGAGGAGCGAAAGCGUGGGUAGCAAACAGGAUUAGAUACCCGUGUAGUC
RNAcentral lists this ribosomal RNA (465 nucleotides) under uncultured bacterium. RNAcentral's name for it is "partial 16S ribosomal RNA". It matches the Rfam family "Bacterial small subunit ribosomal RNA", at positions 338 to 795 of the family's 1533-position model. The record is from RNAcentral.